GACGAACGCUGGCGGCGUGCUUAACACAUGCAAGUCGAACGGAAAGGCCCUGCUUUUGUGGGGUGCUCGAGUGGCGAACGGGUGAGUAACACGUGAGUAACCUGCCCUUGACUUUGGGAUAACUUCAGGAAACUGGGGCUAAUACCGGAUAGGAGCUCCUGCUGCAUGGUGGGGGUUGGAAAGUUACGGCGGUUGGGGAUGGAUUCGCGGCUUAUCAGCUUGUUGGUGGGGUAGUGGCUUACCAAGGCUUUGACGGGUAGCCGGCCUGAGAGGGUGACCGGCCACAUUGGGACUGAGAUACGGCGCAGACUCCUACGGGAGGCAGCAGUGGGGAAUAUUGCACAAUGGGCGGAAGCCUGAUGCAGCAACGCCGCGUGCGGGAUGACGGCCUUCGGGUUGUAAACCGCUUUCGCCUGUGACGAAGCGUGAGUGACGGUAAUGGGUAAAGAAGCACCGGCUAACUACGUG
RNAcentral lists this ribosomal RNA (468 nucleotides) under uncultured bacterium. RNAcentral's name for it is "partial 16S ribosomal RNA". It matches the Rfam family "Bacterial small subunit ribosomal RNA", at positions 28 to 507 of the family's 1533-position model. The record is from RNAcentral.